UACGAAGGGGGCUAGCGUUGUUCGGAUUUACUGGGCGUAAAGCGCACGUAGGCGGAUCGUUAAGUCGGGGGUGAAAUCCUGGAGCUCAACUCCAGAACUGCCUUCGAUACUGGCGAUCUUGAGUCCGGAAGAGGUGAGUGGAACUCCUAGUGUAGAGGUGGAAUUCGUAGAUAUUAGGAAGAACACCAGUGGCGAAGGCGGCUCACUGGUCCGGUACUGACGCUGAGGCACGAAAGCCAGGGGAGCGAACGGG
This 253-nucleotide ribosomal RNA is filed under the name uncultured bacterium. RNAcentral describes it as "partial 16S ribosomal RNA". It matches the Rfam family "Bacterial small subunit ribosomal RNA", at positions 524 to 776 of the family's 1533-position model. The record is from RNAcentral.